CGACUGCUGUGCUAUACAUGCAAGUCGUACGCUUCUUUUUCCACCGGAGCUUGCUCCACCGGAAAAAGAAGAGUGGCGAACGGGUGAGUAACACGUGGGUAACCUGCCCAUCAGAAGGGGAUAACACUUGGAAACAGGUGCUAAUACCGUAUAACAAUCGAAACCGCAUGGUUUUGAUUUGAAAGGCGCUUUCGGGUGUCGCUGAUGGAUGGACCCGCGGUGCAUUAGCUAGUUGGUGAGGUAACGGCUCACCAAGGCCACGAUGCAUAGCCGACCUGAGAGGGUGAUCGGCCACAUUGGGACUGAGACACGGCCCAAACUCCUACGGGAGGCAGCAGUAGGGAAUCUUCGGCAAUGGACGAAAGUCUGACCGAGCAACGCCGCGUGAGUGAAGAAGGUUUUCGGAUCGUAAAACUCUGUUGUUAGAGAAGAACAAGGAUGAGAGUAACUGUUCAUCCCUUGACGGUAUCUAACCAGAAAGCCACGGCUAACUACGUGCCAGCAGCCGCGGUAAUACGUAGGUGGCAAGCGUUGUCCGGAUUUAUUGGGCGUAAAGCGAGCGCAGGCGGUUUCUUAAGUCUGAUGUGAAAGCCCCCGGCUCAACCGGGGAGGGUCAUUGGAAACUGGGAGACUUGAGUGCAGAAGAGGAGAGUGGAAUUCCAUGUGUAGCGGUGAAAUGCGUAGAUAUAUGGAGGAACACCAGUGGCGAAGGCGGCUCUCUGGUCUGUAACUGACGCUGAGGCUCGAAAGCGUGGGGAGCAAACAGGAUUAGAUACCCUGGUAGUCCACGCCGUAAACGAUGAGUGCUAAGUGUUGGAGGGUUUCCGCCCUUCAGUGCUGCAGCUAACGCAUUAAGCACUCCGCCUGGGGAGUACGACCGCAAGGUUGAAACUCAAAGGAAUUGACGGGGGCCCGCACAAGCGGUGGAGCAUGUGGUUUAAUUCGAAGCAACGCGAAGAACCUUACCAUGUCUUGACAUCCUUGACACUCUAGAGAUAGAGCUUCCCCUUCGGGGCAAAGUGACAGGUGCUGCAUGUGUCGUCAGCUCGUGUCGUGAGAUGUGGGUAGUCCCGCACGAGCGCACCCUAUGUAGUGCAUCAUCAGUGGACUCUAGCAGACUGCGUGACAACUGAGAGUGGGAUGACGUCAAUCAUCAUGCCCUAUGACUGGCUACCACGUGCUACAUGGGAGUACAACGGUUGGAGUCGAGUUAGCUAUCUAAGCUUCCUCAUCGAUGCAGGCUCACUCCCUGCGUGACGAUCCUAUAUCGA
Molecule: ribosomal RNA, 1271 nt
Filed under: Enterococcus faecalis
Lineage: Bacteria; Bacillati; Bacillota; Bacilli; Lactobacillales; Enterococcaceae
Description: bacterial SSU rRNA
Rfam family: Bacterial small subunit ribosomal RNA
Source: RNAcentral